This 796-nucleotide ribosomal RNA is filed under the name uncultured archaeon. RNAcentral describes it as "bacterial SSU rRNA". It matches the Rfam family "Archaeal small subunit ribosomal RNA", at positions 80 to 880 of the family's 1478-position model. The record is from RNAcentral.
UGAUUACUGCUCAGUAACACGUGGAUAACUUGUCCUGUGGACCGGGAUAACCCCUGGGAAACUGGGGCUAAUACCGGAUAGAGCAGCGAUCGCUGGAAUGCACGCUGCUCCAAAGCUCCGGCACCACAGGGUAGGUCUGCGGCCGAUUAGGUCGUUGUUGAUGUAACGGAUCAACAAGCCUCCGAUCGGUAUGGGUUGUGAGAGCAAUAGCCCAGAGAUGGGUUCUGAGAUAAGAACCCAGGUCCUACGGGACGCAUCAGGCGCGAAAACUUUACACUGUGCGCCAGCACGAUAAGGGAACUCUGAGUGCCUCCUCAGGAGGCUGUUCAGGUGUCUAAAACGCACCUGAAGGAAGGGCUGGGUAAGACUGGUGCCAGCCGCCGCGGUAACACCAGCAGCCCAAGUGGUAGCCACUCUUACUGGGUCUAAAGCGUCCGUAGCCGGCCAGGUAAGUUCCUUGGGAAAUUUGAUCGCUCAACGAUUAAGCCUCCAGGGAAUACUGUCUGGCUUGGGACCGGGAGAGGUCAGAGGUACCUCAAGGGUAGGGGUGAAAUCCGUUAAUCCUUGGGGGACCGCCGGUAGCGAAGGCGUCUGACUGGACCGGAUCCGACGGUGAGGGGCGAAGGCUAGGGGAGCGAACCGGAUUAGAUACCCGGGUAGUCCUAGCUGUAAACGAUGCGGGCUAGGUGUUGGCAUUACUGCGAGUGAUGCCAGUGCCGAAGGGAAGCCGUUAAGCUCGCCAUCUGGGGAGUACGGUCGCAAGGCUGAAACUUAAAGGAAUUGGCGGGGGAGCACA